RNAcentral lists this small RNA (1252 nucleotides) under Rattus norvegicus (Norway rat). Its description in RNAcentral is "uncharacterized LOC102551351". Lineage: Eukaryota; Metazoa; Chordata; Mammalia; Rodentia; Muridae. The record is from RNAcentral.
GGAACCACAGAUACUUGAUAUUAUCUCAGUAAAAAAGUCAUACUAGCCAAUUAAAAUCAGGACCCACUUUGACUUCAGUAACUGUUGGAGCACAUACAACCAAGGAUAGUGUGGUUUUGGUUAAUAAGAUCAGAAGCAGAGGGAACACGGCUGAGUAGGAUAAGGAUUAAGAAUUAUAUGGACUUUGAAUGAUAAUUCAGGUGGGUGAAGUAGCUGGGAGAGGAAAGAUGAUACUGCUAUCAUCCAAAGAGUUUAGAGAUUGUUACAUCUAUGAAAGGUCACAAUUGAAAAGUAAAAGGAGCCAGGGAUAGGGAUGAUAGAAAGGUGAUCAGACAGGAGUAGGAGGCUGGAAGAUAUAAUGUAAAGAAUGCCUUAUAGUAAACUGGGUGAAGGGGAUGAAUAACCCUAAAAUAUAACAGCAAUGAUGAAAGUAAAACCACAUGAGGCAUAAGUAAGAAUACGAACUAAAUAAUAGAAAGCAAUUAAUAAAGAGAUGCCUAUGGAUGAAUUGCUGACACCACUGUGCUGAGCUGAAGGUGAUGUUCUCACCCCUCUGGUUCCCAGAGUCUCCAUUUGGUGCUGUUUCUGAGUCAUUUUAAAUUAGUAGUUUUCAUGGUGGGCAGCUUGUUCCGUAGAGAAAACAUGCCGAUAUUUGCAAGAUUUUUUUUCUUUCUGAAACUCAAGGGUAGGUGGAAUGGUAAUGGUGGGAUCUUUGAAGAGAAGCCCAGGAUGCUGCUAAACUCAGCACAGGACAGUCCACUCAAGUGAAGAACCCCGCCCAUGAAAUGGAGCCCUCCACAUUCAGGGGGAUUCUUCUCUACUCAGUUGAACUUCUGUGGAAAUACCCUCACAGAUGUAUCUAGAGAUUUACUGUUGAAGUUAAAGCCUGUGAGAGGUUCCCAGCGAUGCUUCAAAAGGUCCCUGUGCACCAUCACCAGCUUCAUUACAAAUAUCAGGACACAGUAAUAGUUCCUUCUCUGUUUUUGUCAGGAGAGACAAAUACGGUUCACAUGGGUAACCCAUUUUGACAUCCCACCCCUACCUCUGUAAUGAAACGAUAACUUUUUAGUACUGGAUGAGCAAUUUGAAGACACUAUUCCUCUCUAAUACUAACUUGUACAAUGCCAUAUCUCUUGUUGAAGACUGUGUUGACGAAAUGGGUAGGAUAGCUUGUGCUAACUUGGAAAUGAGCCCCACAUAGGCUGAAAUGCCUUCCCUCCCCUCCCCUUCUGUCUCCUCCUCUCUACCUUCC